RNAcentral lists this ribosomal RNA (398 nucleotides) under Staphylococcus epidermidis NIHLM018. RNAcentral describes it as "bacterial SSU rRNA". It matches the Rfam family "Bacterial small subunit ribosomal RNA", at positions 1 to 387 of the family's 1533-position model. Lineage: Bacteria; Bacillati; Bacillota; Bacilli; Caryophanales; Staphylococcaceae. The record is from RNAcentral.
UUUUAUGGAGAGUUUGAUCCUGGCUCAGGAUGAACGCUGGCGGCGUGCCUAAUACAUGCAAGUCGAGCGAACAGACGAGGAGCUUGCUCCUCUGACGUUAGCGGCGGACGGGUGAGUAACACGUGGAUAACCUACCUAUAAGACUGGGAUAACUUCGGGAAACCGGAGCUAAUACCGGAUAAUAUAUUGAACCGCAUGGUUCAAUAGUGAAAGACGGUUUUGCUGUCACUUAUAGAUGGAUCCGCGCCGCAUUAGCUAGUUGGUAAGGUAACGGCUUACCAAGGCAACGAUGCGUAGCCGACCUGAGAGGGUGAUCGGCCACACUGGAACUGAGACACGGUCCAGACUCCUACGGGAGGCAGCAGUAGGGAAUCUUCCGCAAUGGGCGAAAGCUUGAC